CUUGGUAGCUUAGUUGGUAAAGCGCUAAUCUAGCAUACAAGAGUCCUGGGUUCGAAUCCCAGCCGAG
RNAcentral lists this transfer RNA (67 nucleotides) under Aedes aegypti (yellow fever mosquito). It matches the Rfam family "tRNA". Rfam says of the family: Transfer RNA (tRNA) molecules are approximately 80 nucleotides in length. Their secondary structure includes four short double-helical elements and three loops (D, anti-codon, and T loops). The record is from Rfam by way of RNAcentral. Lineage: Eukaryota; Metazoa; Arthropoda; Insecta; Diptera; Culicidae.